UUUAAUUGAAGAGUUUGAUCAUGGCUCAGAUUGAACGCUGGCGGCAGGCCUAACACAUGCAAGUCGAGCGGUAACAGGAGAAAGCUUGCUUUCUUGCUGACGAGCGGCGGACGGGUGAGUAAUGUAUGGGGAU
RNAcentral lists this ribosomal RNA (133 nucleotides) under Proteus mirabilis. Its description in RNAcentral is "partial 16S ribosomal RNA". It matches the Rfam family "Bacterial small subunit ribosomal RNA", at positions 1 to 124 of the family's 1533-position model. Lineage: Bacteria; Pseudomonadati; Pseudomonadota; Gammaproteobacteria; Enterobacterales; Morganellaceae. The record is from RNAcentral.